CACAUUCUGCACAUGAAGCUGGCUCAGGACACUUAGGCUCUCCAGCUUGUCACUUUUGUCACCACAGGCAAUGGGCACGUGGGCAUCUACUCUCCCCCAACCCCUGCCAUUAGUCCUUCACACGUCAUGCAUUUUCCUUACCUGCCAGGCCCCAGAGGUAAACCCUAGGCUGUGUCAUGGGAAGAGCAGCAAGAUGGUGGGUGAUUUUGUUAAGCAAGAAGCAGCUUUCGAAAGGACCAGAGUAUCUGAUGAAGAAAGAAUAAGCACUCAGGAAUAAUGGUUGAAGGAGUGAAUGACUCUGCAAACAUAUUGGUGAGAGAGGGAGAGAAGUGGGGAGGAGAAAUAGAGAGAAAGGGGAAGAGAGAAUCUUAACCAGUCUCUACGCCCAGCACGGAGCCCAACAUGGGGCUUGGAUCUCACGCCAUGACAUCAUGACCUGAGCGGAAAUCAAGAGUUGGAUGCUUAACUGACUGAGCCACCCAGGCUUCCCUAAGGCUAUUGAUUUUUUUUUUUUUAAUUUGUUAAGUAAUCUCUACACCCAUUGUGGGGUCUCAAACUCACAACCCCAAGAUCACACUUGGAGUUGCACACUCCACCAACUAGCCAGGAACCCCAAGCCUAUUAAUUAUUGCUUACUAAAUUUGUACUCAAACACCUACUGAAUUCUUUCUGGGUUACAGAUUUUUAGUUAAAUUUCUUACAUUUUCUAACUUAUAAUUUUAUCAUAUUUUCUUUAAAUAAUAUCCCCUCUUUUUUAAUCACUUGUCCAUUUGUUUAUUUAUAUUGGUAA
Molecule: long non-coding RNA, 790 nt
Organism: Mustela lutreola (European mink)
Lineage: Eukaryota; Metazoa; Chordata; Mammalia; Carnivora; Mustelidae
Exons: 3
Source: RefSeq, a predicted model, not a curated record